This 460-nucleotide ribosomal RNA is filed under the name uncultured bacterium. Its description in RNAcentral is "partial 16S ribosomal RNA". It matches the Rfam family "Bacterial small subunit ribosomal RNA", at positions 338 to 795 of the family's 1533-position model. The record is from RNAcentral.
CCUACGGGGGGCAGCAGUGAGGAAUAUUGGUCAAUGGGCGAGAGCCUGAACCAGCCAAGUAGCGUGAAGGAUGACUGCCCUACGGGUUGUAAACUUCUUUUAUAAAGGAAUAAAGUGAGGCACGUGUGCCUUUUUGUAUGUACUUUAUGAAUAAGGAUCGGCUUACUCCGUGCCAGCAGCCGCGGUAAUACGGAGGAUCCGAGCGGUAUCCGGAUUUAUUGGGUUGAAAGGGAGCGUAGAUGGGUUUUUAAGUCAGUUGUGAAAGUUUGCGGCUUAACCGUAAAAUUGCAAUUGAAACUGGCAGCCUUGAGUACAGUUGAGGUAGGCGGAAUUCGUGGUGUAGCGGUGAAAUGCUUAGAUAUCACGAAGAACUCCGAUUGCGAAGGCAGCCUACUAAACUUCCACUGACAUUGAGGCUCGAAAGUGUGGGUAUCAAACAGGAUUAGAUACCCCAGUAGUC